GGGCUUUUCUGUCAGAAGGCCGUGGGGAAGGUGGGGGGGGGACCGUUUUGUGUGCUACAACCGUGGGAAGAGUCUCGCUAUUUCAGCAAGGAGGAGUGUGCAAACGAUGAAACCCUCCUCAACUGGGUAGUCUAGGAGACGCGUACAUUAGCGGUCGGAUUUUUAUUAAUCAUCAAAAAGGUCGUUUCCAGCGUCUGGGGGAGAAACGAAUUAACCGGGGCUGCUCCGAGCCGCUCGGAUAUUUGACACCGGGCUGCUGGUGCGGGAAAUAUGGAGACGAAACCUGGUAUUCAAGUUAAAGAGGAAGUUCAGAUUAAAGAGGAAGUUCAAAUAAAAGAAGAAAAUACUGACCAGUACCCUGACCAGUUGAUAGAGAAUAUCGCUGAAGUUGAAUCUGUCAUCAUAAAAGAAGAGCCCGACGACAGCGAGGAGGACAGCCCUGAGUCGCUGCUGCUCGUCGGAGACGAGACCUCCGGCCUGCACCAAGCGCUGCUCGCCAGCAGGAAAAGUAUGUAACGUUUUUUUUUUCCCCCCAAAGAUUUUGUUCACAUGACUGCGUUUCAGAGAAACCCAGAAGACCCUGACAGCACGGGUCUCCACCUCUGGUCCUUAAGAGCCCCCAGUUCAGCCGGACUUGUAGCUCACUGUGAAAUCACUCGACCCGUUCAGCUUGUUUUGGUUCUGCAAGGAUCAAACUGAAUCAAACUCUCAUAAAUAAAAGUGUCAACAUUUCACUUCCUACAUUUAAACUCCUCAACGUGCUUAAAAACACACAAGCUUCGCUGCACCUUCAAACAUCUUACUUCUGUAUUGGCAUCAAUUUACGAUCCCUGGGAAUGCCAAGGUAUUUCAGAUUCAUUUAGGAUUUCAAAAUCGGUUCCGUGAAUAGCCACAGGAAUAGAACAUUUCUUUCAAAAAUCAGUUGUUUUAGUUGUGCUUAAAAACCAGCGCUGUCUCCUGAUGUCAAUGAUGAAAAAAGAUUCAUCCCCUGUCUGUAAUUGUAUUCGUCAUCAUUCAGACGUCCAGUCAGGGCUCCAUCAUCCACAUACUUGGUAAUUGCACAGAUGUCAGAGCGGCGUACACGAUCAUCAGUGUACAGUGUGAAAAGCAGUGGGGACAGCACGCACCCUUGGGGUACCCCUGUGCUGGUGCUGAUGGUGAGAGACGUCCCCGAGCUCACUCGCACAGACUGUUCCCAAUGAGUAAG
Molecule: non-coding RNA, 1207 nt
Organism: Lepisosteus oculatus (spotted gar)
Lineage: Eukaryota; Metazoa; Chordata; Actinopteri; Semionotiformes; Lepisosteidae
Source: RefSeq, a predicted model, not a curated record